GAUGAAGAACGUAGUGAAAUGCGAUAAUUAAUGUGAAUUGCAGAAUUCAGUGAAUCAUCGAGUCUUUGAACGCACAUUGCGCCCCCUGGUAUUCCGGGGGGCAUGCCUGUCCGAGCGUCAUUGCUGCCCUCAAGCACGGCUUGUGUGUUGGGCUUCCGUCCCUGGCAACGGGGACGGGCCCAAAAGGCAGUGGCGGCACCAUGUCUGGUCCUCGAGCGUAUGGGGCUUUGUCACCCGCUCCCGUAGGUCCAGCUGGCAGCUAGCCUCGCAACCAAUCUUUUUAACCAGGUUGACAUCGGGUCAGGUAGGGAUACCCGCUGAACUUAAGCAUAUCAAUAAGCGGAGGA
Molecule: unclassified non-coding RNA, 347 nt
Filed under: soil metagenome
Description: partial contains 5.8S ribosomal RNA, internal transcribed spacer 2, and large subunit ribosomal RNA
Rfam family: 5.8S ribosomal RNA (bases 1-120)
Source: RNAcentral